This 51-nucleotide ribosomal RNA is filed under the name Trichoderma harzianum. RNAcentral describes it as "partial 18S ribosomal RNA". The record is from RNAcentral. Lineage: Eukaryota; Fungi; Ascomycota; Sordariomycetes; Hypocreales; Hypocreaceae.
GGUGAACCAGCGGAGGGAUCAUUACCGAGUUUACAACUCCCAAACCCAAUG